This is a non-coding RNA of Punica granatum (pomegranate), 682 nucleotides long. The record is from RefSeq and is a predicted model, not a curated record. Lineage: Eukaryota; Viridiplantae; Streptophyta; Magnoliopsida; Myrtales; Lythraceae.
UAUCACUUGCCCCCCACACAAGUUCUGGGAUAGUGAAACUCAGUUAGCCAGCAGAACACCUCAACGGAAGAAGUUCCUUGGGGACUGCCAGAGGUUAGCGCACCUCGUGAUGCUGCUGAUGCAAGUGAGCAGCAGCGUUGCAGAUUGCGGAAGUUAAGCGAAGGGGGUUCCUCGAGCACGAAGGUUGCCCCCCACUCUGAAAGCAAAAUGUCGCCUCAUGAUGAGGUGGUUGAGCAUAUGCGGUUGGCCAGCCGAUUGGGUGAGAUUACUACUGCUGGAUUUUUAUAUAUAUAGACGUUGAAAGAUCUAAUAUGCCAAAGGUAUAGAUAUUGAAAGAGAUAAGAUGCCUUGGUUUUAAAUUAUUUAGAGGCUUGUAUGAGUGGCGGUUCUUUGUGUCAUGUUUAAUUUCUUGCACGGGCAGCACUUGAACAGGCUUUCAAUAACCGAGCGAGUUUAUUUUUCUCGCAAGGGCUCCCUACAGGGAGUCUUUCGAUAGCCCAGCGCAUUACUUCUCUCGCGAGGGUUCCUUUAUUGGAGUCUUUUGACAAUUCAAACGAGUUUACUUACUCGUAAGGGCUGCUUUUUAGGAGUCUUUUUAUAAUCUAAAUAGGUUUAACGGGUUUACUUACUCGUAAGAGCUCCUUUUUUGGAGUCUGUCUAUAAUCCAAAACGGAUUUACUUA